Long non-coding RNA from Homo sapiens (human), 2554 nucleotides. Ensembl annotates it as mitosis associated long intergenic non-coding RNA 1. Its record names the gene MALINC1. Lineage: Eukaryota; Metazoa; Chordata; Mammalia; Primates; Hominidae. The record is from Ensembl.
CGCCCCCUUCUCGCGCGUGAGCGCGCCCUAUCGGCUCCUGGCGCGUCAACAUUCCGCGGGCCAGGCCUUGGGGCGCGUCUGAGGAGGGGGAUGUCUGUGGCCUCUCCGCCCACACUUCCUCCACCCACCGCCCACAGCGCCCCAGAAGGACCUAUUACUCGUUUGGCUUCUGAAGGCCGAAGCCAGGCUCUGGCGGGGAUAGAACCCUGAAGGGCCUGCGCCAGCUCCAACUUAGGGCCCUUAUCUUUUGCUGCCUCUUACGUAUUGUAGGCAGUGCCUGAUGGCUGAGAAGAAUCGCAGAGGACUAGAAAAGGUUUGAGUCUGAAAUUAUCUGGCACAGAGGAUUAAAGCUCAGAAAUAAGUGAUUGCGAAACAGUUCAACUUCCCUGUUAAUGACAACAACAACAGCAACACGCUUAUUAAUUCCUAGCUGGAGCAUCAAGCUUAUGAAGAUUUCCAAGACUUUAUUGUUGACCCUUGUUGAAGAGAACUCUACUUGGCUUCUUUCCUGGCUUUCCUAAAUUGUUCACAUACAAGAUAAACUACCGUCAUUCAGACUUACAGAAGUGAGAAGACAAGCUGAACCAAAUGUAAAAUGGUAGCAAUUUACAGAUGUCAGAACUAACAUGUGGAUGAACUUAGAGAUGGAGAAGAAAGCUGGGCUUUUCCAAAGAGUGGAUCUAUCUGAACUGGAUAGCACUAUUGAACUUUGUUGCAUAUUUUGUGGUAGCUCUAAAACUCCUCUGCUUGCUUACAUACAACCAGACACCAGUGCCUUCUGAAGCUAAUCCAGGCCAUUUUUAUAACCUAAUGCAGUAGCACUUUGCAAUUAGAUGAAGAAGAUCGGUGGGAUUUCUUUCUGUGGUGAUUAAAAUGUGUCAGGGGAAGAAAUCAAGACAAUACUCCAAGUGAAAAAUAUAAAGUCAGUUAUUUCUUUAAUAUUUUGUGUUAUAGUAAUCAUUUUUAUAUUUUGAGCAUACUUUUUCUUGUCUACUUAAAUACUCAAAAUUAAUUAUAAAAUGUAAAUGUAAGCACAAUGAGAUACCAUCUCAUCCCAGUUAAAAUGGCUUUUAUCAAAAAGAUAGGGAAUAAUGAAUACUGGUGGAAGGAUGUGGAGAAUGGGGAACCCUCGUACACUGUCAAUGAGAAUGUAAAUUAGUACAGCCACUAUGGAAAACUGUAUGGAAGUGCCUCCGAAAACAAAGUAGAACUACCAUGUGAUCCAGCAAUUACACUAGUGGGUAUAUAUUCAAAAGAAAGGAAAUCAACAUAUUAAAGAGAUAGCUGCAUUCUCAUGUUUAUUGAAGUCCUGUUGAAAUAGCCAAAAUAUGGAAUCAACCUAAGUGCCCAUCAGUGGAUGAAUGGUUAAAGAAAAUGUGAUUGAUAUGCAAUGGAAUAUUAUUCAGCCAUAAAAAAGAAUGAAAUCCUGGCGGGGCACAGUGGCUCAUGCAAGUAAUCCCAGCACUGACCUCAUGAAGACAGAGAGUAGAUUGGUGGUUACCAGAGGUUGAGAAGGGGAGAGGAGAGGAGGGAUGAAGAGAGGUUGAUUGAUGGAUAGAAAUAUACAGUUUGAUAAUGAUAAAUCAGUAGGGUGACUAUAGUUUAUAAUAACCUAUUGUAUGGUUCAAAAUAGCUAAAAGAGAAUAAUUGAAAUAACGUAAGACAAAAAUUUAAGAUGAUAGAUAUCCCAAUUACACUGAUUUGAUCUUUACAAAUUAUAUGAAUGUAUUAAAUUAUUACAUGUAUCCCCAAAAUAUGUACAAGUAUUUUGUAUCAAUAAAAAAUAAAAUUUAAGAUAAAGUAAAUGUAAUGAUUAGCUUAUAUUUCCUAGAUCGGAAAUAAAUAUUUACUUAAGUAUGUUUAUGAUGAAGAGUUUUUUUAUAUUACUAUAAAAAUAGACACCUUACAUAAACAUAUUACAGUUGGUGUUUAGAUGGCUCUUUUUUUUCUGGCCUUGAAUUUCUGGAAAGUAGGUAUGGCCUGCUAUGUCAGGACUAGUUCUUGGAAUUCUUUGUUGUUUUUCAGUCAGCCUUAUUUUCUUGGGUCAUGUUUUGAACAAUAUUUAUCAAAUGUCUGUUUACCAGACGUUGUUCCAGAUGCUUGAACAAAAUGAAAUGUCUGCUGUCAUAGAGUUUCCAGUCUAUGUAAGACAGUAAACAAAUGUAUAAUAUAAUGCUAGAUAGUGAUAAGUGCUAAAAAGAAGAAGAAAAUAGGAAAGGGGAAAGAGAGUUUCUGUGUGAUUGUAUGUGAAAGUGUCCAUGCAUGCCGCUCACCCAGUAUUUUAAAUAGAGUGAUCAAGGAAGCCUGUCUGAAGAAGUAACAUUUGAACAGAGAUCUGAAAUAGUCAGUCACGGGAACAUUUAGGGAGAUGUUCCAGGCAGGCAUUGUGGACAAUUUAUGUCACAAAAAAGUCACCCAAGUGUUAAGUCAAGUAACAUCCUGUAUGAUAACUAUAUAUACAUUUUUUUGUUUUUUCUUAAGUGAAAAACAAACUUAUUAGGUUUUCUGGGUACUCAUUAGGUUUUCAGAAAAGUUUUUCAUUUAAUAUCAUUAU